RNAcentral lists this ribosomal RNA (804 nucleotides) under Listeria monocytogenes. Its description in RNAcentral is "bacterial SSU rRNA". It matches the Rfam family "Bacterial small subunit ribosomal RNA", at positions 1 to 783 of the family's 1533-position model. Lineage: Bacteria; Bacillati; Bacillota; Bacilli; Caryophanales; Listeriaceae. The record is from RNAcentral.
UAUUUUAAAGAGAGUUUGAUCCUGGCUCAGGACGAACGCUGGCGGCGUGCCUAAUACAUGCAAGUCGAACGAACGGAGGAAGAGCUUGCUCUUCCAAAGUUAGUGGCGGACGGGUGAGUAACACGUGGGCAACCUGCCUGUAAGUUGGGGAUAACUCCGGGAAACCGGGGCUAAUACCGAAUGAUAGAGUGUGGCGCAUGCCACGCUUUUGAAAGAUGGUUUCGGCUAUCGCUUACAGAUGGGCCCGCGGUGCAUUAGCUAGUUGGUAGGGUAAUGGCCUACCAAGGCAACGAUGCAUAGCCGACCUGAGAGGGUGAUCGGCCACACUGGGACUGAGACACGGCCCAGACUCCUACGGGAGGCAGCAGUAGGGAAUCUUCCGCAAUGGACGAAAGUCUGACGGAGCAACGCCGCGUGUAUGAAGAAGGUUUUCGGAUCGUAAAGUACUGUUGUUAGAGAAGAACAAGGAUAAGAGUAACUGCUUGUCCCUUGACGGUAUCUAACCAGAAAGCCACGGCUAACUACGUGCCAGCAGCCGCGGUAAUACGUAGGUGGCAAGCGUUGUCCGGAUUUAUUGGGCGUAAAGCGCGCGCAGGCGGUCUUUUAAGUCUGAUGUGAAAGCCCCCGGCUUAACCGGGGAGGGUCAUUGGAAACUGGAAGACUGGAGUGCAGAAGAGGAGAGUGGAAUUCCACGUGUAGCGGUGAAAUGCGUAGAUAUGUGGAGGAACACCAGUGGCGAAGGCGACUCUCUGGUCUGUAACUGACGCUGAGGCGCGAAAGCGUGGGGAGCAAACAGGAUUAGAU